GGGACCAGCCGGCGAGGAGGGGACUUCGGGCCGCGAAACGCGCUCCCAGAGCCGCUGCGCGCGGCGUGACGCGGGUGCCCCCGUCAGAGUUGGCGAGGGCGGGAAAAGUUAGGGACUGCCUGCAGGUGUGGACGCUGCCGGUUCCUAAUAAGCAAAGAGCGAUGAUUAUCCCGGAGGUCGUUUGAAAAGGAUCUCUCAGGUGAACGAAGGACUGAGAGAAGGACACCUGGUUCAUGGGCUACUGGUCACACUGUGAGGUGGGGAUACUUAUCCCGGCGUCCCAUUAGGAAGGAUUCUGAAGUCAAAAGCUUUGUAGGCUCUCACACUUACUAUGGUGCUGGACUCCAAGGUGACCGGGUUUUGAAGAAACAAGUCUACGGGGAUGAGUUUCUUCCUGAAGGAUCUGUGUUUGUUCAAAACACAAUCAGAAAGGUAAUGAUGUUUUUCUUAUGAAAGGAGCCAGAAAUGCAAAAUGUUAAUUCUUUUUUUUCCCCCCCCCCCCCUUACAUAAGUAGUAAAGGAUACAAGAGAUGAAAUGUAGACUAUUAUAAUUUGGUCAUUCUAGCUAGCUACAUUUUUUCCUAGUAAAGAAGUUUUUUAUUGCUAGGUUUUCUUUUAUGGGAAAAAGCUAUCUUCUGUAGAAGAAAGCUACUGGACUGAUUUUCCACAGAGUCGAAGUUAACAACCUGUGGCCUAACCAUGAUCAUUUCUAUGUAACAGCACCUUCCCAGGGAUUCUUGGCUCUGAAAACUCAUCAACGCCCAACCAGUAAUUGAUAUGGCGUGAUUCCCUCUCCCAUUUAUUAUGUAGAAUAUUCAUUUUUAUUUUUUUAAGAGGCUUCAUUGAGAAGAAUAUAAGCCAGUAG
Molecule: long non-coding RNA, 865 nt
Filed under: Felis catus (domestic cat)
Lineage: Eukaryota; Metazoa; Chordata; Mammalia; Carnivora; Felidae
Description: lncRNA (ENSFCAG00000049936.1)
Source: RNAcentral